This 899-nucleotide ribosomal RNA is filed under the name Enterococcus phoeniculicola. RNAcentral's name for it is "bacterial SSU rRNA". It matches the Rfam family "Bacterial small subunit ribosomal RNA", at positions 1 to 868 of the family's 1533-position model. Lineage: Bacteria; Bacillati; Bacillota; Bacilli; Lactobacillales; Enterococcaceae. The record is from RNAcentral.
ACGUUAGAGUUUGAAUCUGGCUCAGGACGAACGCUGGCGGCGUGCCUAAUACAUGCAAGUCGAACGCUUCUUUUUCCACCGGAGCUUGCUCCACCGGAAAAAGAGGAGUGGCGAACGGGUGAGUAACACGUGGGUAACCUGCCCAUCAGAAGGGGAUAACACUUGGAAACAGGUGCUAAUACCGUAUAACAAUCAAAACCGCAUGGUUUUGAUUUGAAAGGCGCUUUCGGGUGUCGCUGAUGGAUGGACCCGCGGUGCAUUAGCUAGUUGGUGAGGUAACGGCUCACCAAGGCCACGAUGCAUAGCCGACCUGAGAGGGUGAUCGGCCACAUUGGGACUGAGACACGGCCCAAACUCCUACGGGAGGCAGCAGUAGGGAAUCUUCGGCAAUGGACGAAAGUCUGACCGAGCAACGCCGCGUGAGUGAAGAAGGUUUUCGGAUCGUAAAACUCUGUUGUUAGAGAAGAACAAGGAUGAGAGUAACUGUUCAUCCCUUGACGGUAUCUAACCAGAAAGCCACGGCUAACUACGUGCCAGCAGCCGCGGUAAUACGUAGGUGGCAAGCGUUGUCCGGAUUUAUUGGGCGUAAAGCGAGCGCAGGCGGUUUCUUAAGUCUGAUGUGAAAGCCCCCGGCUCAACCGGGGAGGGUCAUUGGAAACUGGGAGACUUGAGUGCAGAAGAGGAGAGUGGAAUUCCAUGUGUAGCGGUGAAAUGCGUAGAUAUAUGGAGGAACACCAGUGGCGAAGGCGGCUCUCUGGUCUGUAACUGACGCUGAGGCUCGAAAGCGUGGGGAGCAAACAGGAUUAGAUACCCUGGUAGUCCACGCCGUAAACGAUGAGUGCCUAAGUGUUGGAGGGUUUCCGCCCUUUCAGUUGCUGCAGCUAAACGCAUUAAGCAAU